CAUGCAAGUCGAGCGAAGCCUUCGGGCUUAGCGGCGGACGGGUGAGUAACGCGUGGGAACGUGCCCUUCUCUGCGGAAUAGCCACUGGAAACGGUGAGUAAUACCGCAUACGCCCUUCGGGGGAAAGAUUUAUCGGAGAAGGAUCGGCCCGCGUUAGAUUAGGUAGUUGGUGGGGUAAUGGCCUACCAAGCCUACGAUCUAUAGCUGGUUUGAGAGGAUGAUCAGCCACACUGGGACUGAGACACGGCCCAGACUCCUACGGGAGGCAGCAGUGAGGAAUCUUGGACAAUGGGGGCAACCCUGAUCCAGCCAUGCCGCGUGAACGAUGAAGGCCUUAGGGUUGUAAAGUUCUUUCAGCUGGGAAGAUAAUGACGGUACCAGCAGAAGAAGCCCCGGCUAACUCCGUGCCAGCAGCCGCGGUAAUACGGAGGGGGCUAGCGUUGUUCGGAAUUACUGGGCGUAAAGCG
Molecule: ribosomal RNA, 467 nt
Filed under: Rhodovulum marinum
Lineage: Bacteria; Pseudomonadati; Pseudomonadota; Alphaproteobacteria; Rhodobacterales; Paracoccaceae
Description: bacterial SSU rRNA
Rfam family: Bacterial small subunit ribosomal RNA
Source: RNAcentral